GUAAACGGUAAAAAAAAAAAAAUUCGAUGCGAAUAUGAAGUAAAUGCGGAAAAUAAAAUCAGCACACCGAGAAUUAACGUGGGAAAACUCCAAAUCGGAGAGAAAAACCCACGGGACCGAUCACACAAAGAAAUCCACUAAGAAAACAUGAGUACAAGUGAUUUAGCAAAAAUACAAGACUCAAAAUACCGAAUCCUCGUUGUAGAUUAUCUUUGCUAGUCCACGAUCGCUUGGAAUCCUCCAACCGAUCACACUGCAAGUC
RNAcentral lists this long non-coding RNA (262 nucleotides) under Ananas comosus (pineapple). RNAcentral's name for it is "long non-coding RNA (ACOM_LNC035889)". The record is from RNAcentral. Lineage: Eukaryota; Viridiplantae; Streptophyta; Magnoliopsida; Poales; Bromeliaceae.